RNAcentral lists this transfer RNA (67 nucleotides) under Glyptotermes sp. B TB-2014. RNAcentral's name for it is "tRNA-Phe". The record is from RNAcentral. Lineage: Eukaryota; Metazoa; Arthropoda; Insecta; Blattodea; Kalotermitidae.
ACUUGAAUAGCUUAUAUUAGAGUAUAACAUUGAAGAUGUUGUCGAGGUUAAAACUUACCUUCAAGUA